Molecule: ribosomal RNA, 497 nt
Filed under: uncultured bacterium
Lineage: Bacteria
Description: partial 16S ribosomal RNA
Rfam family: Bacterial small subunit ribosomal RNA
Source: RNAcentral
GAUGAACGCUGGCGGCGUGCCUAAUACAUGCAAGUCGAGCGAACAGACGAGGAGCUUGCUCCUCUGACGUUAGCGGCGGACGUGUGAGUAACACGUGAAUAACCUACCUAUAAGACUGGGAUAACUUCGGGAAACCGGAGCUAAUACCGGAUAAUAUAUUGAACCGCAUUGUUCAAUAGUGAAAUACGGUUUUGCUGUCACUUAUAGAUGGAUCCGCGCCGCAUUAGCUAGUUGUUAAGUUAACGGCUUACCAAGGCAACGAUGCGUAGCCGACCUGAGAGUGUGAUCGGCCACACUGGAACUGAGACACGGUCCAGACUACUACGGGAGGCAGCAGUAGGGAAUCUUCCGCAAUGGGCGAAAGCAUGACGGAGCAACGCCGCGUGAGUGAUGAAGGUCUUCGGAUCGUAAAACUCUGUUAUUAGGGAAGAACAAAUGUGUAAGUAACUAUGCACGUCUUGACGGUACCUAAUCAGAAAGCCACGGCUAACUACGUG